Molecule: long non-coding RNA, 462 nt
Organism: Trichechus manatus latirostris (Florida manatee)
Lineage: Eukaryota; Metazoa; Chordata; Mammalia; Sirenia; Trichechidae
Exons: 3
Source: RefSeq, a predicted model, not a curated record
UGGAGGGUGGGGAUGAGAGGGAGGUGCCGAGGGGGUCCCUGCAGCAGCGAGGGCAGCUGGAGCCAGGGGGUGCUGUGCGUCGUGGGGACAACUCCUCCCGGUGACUACAGUGCGGGUUCAUAAAGGCCAGGACAAGGGCCUGGGGCCCCCGUUGUCCCCAGCAGCACUCAGCAUGGCCCAGUGCUUGGAUGGCUGCCAGUCCGGUCGUUGAGCUGUUUGUCGCUGUGAUUAGAUGCCGUUGAGUUAGCUCAACUCAUGGGGACCUUCCGUUGAACAGAACAGAACGUUGCCCGAUCCUGCGCCAUCUUCACCGUCCUUGCUAGGCUUGAGUCCUUUUUUGUGACCACUGUGUAUUUUGAGUGCCUUCUCACCCAGGGGGCUCAUCUUUCAGCGCUGUAUUGGACAAUAUUCUGUCGUGACCUAUAGAGUUUUCAUCAGCUAAUUUUUAGAAAUAGAUCGCCA